RNAcentral lists this ribosomal RNA (408 nucleotides) under uncultured bacterium. Its description in RNAcentral is "partial 16S ribosomal RNA". It matches the Rfam family "Bacterial small subunit ribosomal RNA", at positions 29 to 526 of the family's 1533-position model. The record is from RNAcentral.
AGUGAACGCUGGCGGCGGGCCUAAUACAUGCAAGUCGAACGGAGUGGCGCGCGGGAGAGUAAUGUAUAGCUCAGCUGCCCUACACUAGAGGACAACAGUUGAAGACGACUGCUAAUACUCUAUAGUGUAGGAUGAGGGGAUAUUGUAUCAGCUAGUUGGUGAGGUAAUGGUUCACCGAGGCUAUGACGCAUAACUGGUCUGAGAGGAUGAUCAGUCAAAUCGGAAGUGAGACACGGGUGAGGCUCCUACGGCAGGAAGCAGUAGCCAAUAUUGCCCAAUGCGGGUAUCCCUGGAGCAGCAACGGCUCGUAGAGCACGUCACUUUGCGGAGCGUAAACUCCUGUUGUUAGGGAAGCGGUACCUAACGAAUAAGCACCGGCUAACUCCGUGCCAGCCGCCGCGGUAAUUC